Molecule: transfer RNA, 73 nt
Filed under: Planctomycetota bacterium
Lineage: Bacteria; Pseudomonadati; Planctomycetota
Description: Planctomycetes bacterium (groundwater metagenome) tRNA-Ala
Rfam family: tRNA
About the family: Transfer RNA (tRNA) molecules are approximately 80 nucleotides in length.
Source: RNAcentral
GGGCUGCUGGUCCAACCUGGUACGACACCUGGUUUGCACCCAGGAAAUCGGGGUUCAACUCCCCGGCGGUCCA